CAGGUGUUUGAGGAAAAGUAUCAAACAGAGAAUGUGCUGGAAUCAAAGCUAAAGGCUCCAUCCAAAUGUUAGAGCGAGACCUGUUUUUGUAGCUGUUUUUAUUAUUUGUUGGUCGGGCCGUUUCUUCCCCUCCGUUCCCGUCCCGCUCCGCGCUCGGACAGUGGGACGGCCCCUCCCCGUGUGGUGGCUCGGGGCCCCUCCCUCUCAUCGGAGCGUCCCAGGGGCCCCUCAGGCAGCGGCAGCCUCCCUCCUGCUGCUCAGAGCAGCUGUGACUGCCAGGCUGUGCACUGGCCCCCCACGCUGCGCUCGUCCCGUCACCACAGCCGGACCGACCCUCAGAGCUGACCUCGAGACAGGCCCGUUAUCCCGAGACUGGCCCAUUAUCCUCAGGACUGACCCGGUAUCCUGAAGACUGGCCAUUAUCCUCAGGACUGGCCCGUUAUCCUCAGGACAGGAGCGUUAUCCCCGAGACUGGCCCAUUAUCCUCAGGACUGGCCCGUUAUCCUCAGGACAGGAGCGUUAUCCAGAGACUGGCCCAUUAUCCUUGAGACUGACCCGGUAUCCUCAGGACUGACCCGUAAUCCCUGGACUUUUCGGACCGUCCCUCUCCUCCUCGUCCCGUCAGGAUGAGCGUCCCCGACCACGUGGCCCUCCUGCUGGGGCCCUGGUGGUGGCCCCUCUGCUCCUCCUGCCUCCCCGGCCCGGGCAGGGUGUCCCGCCGCCUGCCGCUGCUCCUUCGCCAUGGUGCAGUGCCUGGAGCCGGACGGGGUGGCCGUGUUCCCCGCGCUGGCGGCCGCGGAGAGCGAGAACGUCACCGAGAUAUACAUGGAGAACCAGGCCGGAGUGGAGAACAUCACAGACGUGGACCUCGUCAACUUCAGGGAGCUGCGAAACCUAACCGUCACAUUCUGCAAACUGCGCUUCAUCUCAGCCAACGCCUUCCAGAACAACCUGAAGCUGCAGUACGUGAAUCUGGCGUCCAACUCCCUGGAGCACAUCAGUUGGAAGGUCUUCCACUUCCUGCCUCUGCUGAGUCUGUGAGUACUUCAAAAUACUAUAGUACUGUACGUAAUAUCCAUGUCACUGUGAAUAUUCCACAUCAGACAUCACAAUAGAAGGGUCUAGAUCAGGAGUGUGCAAACGUUUUUCAUCAAGGGCGGCUUAUCAAAGAG
RNAcentral lists this long non-coding RNA (1172 nucleotides) under Neogobius melanostomus (round goby). Its description in RNAcentral is "lncRNA (ENSNMLG00000021617.1)". The record is from RNAcentral. Lineage: Eukaryota; Metazoa; Chordata; Actinopteri; Gobiiformes; Gobiidae.